GUCACUUUGCCGGAGAGGUUAACGGGAUCGCCUGCUAGUUUUCGCACAGGAUUUCUCAGUCAGCGGUUGGGCUUUGCCCGCGUGUGUUCGAAUCGCACAGGUGACG
This is a non-coding RNA of Lentinula novae-zelandiae, 106 nucleotides long. NCBI's taxonomy places the organism in Eukaryota, Fungi, Basidiomycota, Agaricomycetes, Agaricales, Omphalotaceae. The record is from the annotation of a GenBank genome assembly.